GACGAACGCUGGCGGCGUGCUUAACACAUGCAAGUCGUACGGUAAGGCCCUUUCUGGGGUUCACGUGUGGCGAACGGGUGCGUAAAACGUGAGUAAACUUCCCACGACGUUGAGGUAACGCUACGGAACUGGGGGUAAUACUCGAUAUCUGCUCGUGCUGCAUGGUGGGGGUUGUUCAGCUCCGGCGGUUGUUGAUGAGCUCGCGGCGUAUUAGCUUGUUGGUGGGGUAGUGGCCUACCAAGGCGGCGGCGUGUAGCCGGCCUGAGGGGGUGACCCGCCAUAGUGGGACCGAGAGAAGGCCGCGAUGCCUAAGGGAGGACGCAGGGGGGAAUCUUGCACCAUGGGCGCCAGCCGGAUGAAGAAACGCCGCGUGUGGGAUGACGGUCUUCGGGUUGAAAACCGGUUUCAGCAGGGAAGAAGCCUUUUGUGACGGUACCUGCAGAAGAAGCACCGGCUAACUACGUG
RNAcentral lists this ribosomal RNA (465 nucleotides) under uncultured bacterium. RNAcentral describes it as "partial 16S ribosomal RNA". It matches the Rfam family "Bacterial small subunit ribosomal RNA", at positions 28 to 507 of the family's 1533-position model. The record is from RNAcentral.